Molecule: ribosomal RNA, 492 nt
Filed under: uncultured bacterium
Lineage: Bacteria
Description: partial 16S ribosomal RNA
Rfam family: Bacterial small subunit ribosomal RNA
Source: RNAcentral
AGUGAACGCUGGCGGUAGGCCUAACACAUGCAAGUCGAACGGCAGCACAGUAAGAGCUUGCUCUUACGGGUGGCGAGUGGCGGACGGGUGAGGAAUACAUCGGAAUCUACUUUUUCGUGGGGGAUAACGUAGGGAAACUUACGCUAAUACCGCAUACGACCUACGGGUGAAAGCAGGGAAUCUUCGGACCUUGCGCGAUUGAAUGAGCCGAUGUCGGAUUAGCUAGUUGGCGGGGUAAAGGCCCACCAAGGCGACGAUCCGUAGCUGGUCUGAGAGGAUGAUCAGCCACACUGGAACUGAGGCACGGUCCAGACUCCUACGGGAGGCAGCAGUGGGGAAUAUUGGACAAUGGGCGCAAGCCUGAUCCAGCCAUACCGCGUGGGUGAAGAAGGCCUUCGGGUUGUAAAGCCCUUUUGUUGGGAAAGAAAAGCAGCAGGUUAAUACCCCGCUGUUCUGACGGUACCCAAAGAAUAAGCACCGGCUAACUUCGUG